AUUGAACGCUGGCGGAAUGCUUUACACAUGCAAGUCGAACGGUAGAGGGGGCAACCCCUCGAGAGUGGCGAACGGGUGAGUAAUAUAUCGGAACGUGCCCAGUCGUGGGGGAUAACGUAGCGAAAGUUACGCUAAUACCGCAUACGAUCUACGGAUGAAAGCGGGGGAUCGCAAGACCUCGCGCGAUUGGAGCGGCCGAUAUCAGAUUAGGUAGUUGGUGGGGUAAAGGCUCACCAAGCCAACGAUCUGUAGCUGGUCUGAGAGGACGACCAGCCACACUGGGACUGAGACACGGCCCAGACUCCUACGGGAGGCAGCAGUGGGGAAUUUUGGACAAUGGGCGCAAGCCUGAUCCAGCAAUGCCGCGUGCAGGAAGAAGGCCUUCGGGUUGUAAACUGCUUUUGUACGGAACGAAAAGGUCUGGGUUAAUACCCUGGGCUCAUGACGGUACCGUAAGAAUAAGCACCGGCUAACUACGUG
RNAcentral lists this ribosomal RNA (480 nucleotides) under uncultured bacterium. Its description in RNAcentral is "bacterial SSU rRNA". It matches the Rfam family "Bacterial small subunit ribosomal RNA", at positions 30 to 507 of the family's 1533-position model. The record is from RNAcentral.